CCUACGGGCGGCAGCCGUGGGGAAUAUUGGACAAUGGGCGCAAGCCUUACCCAGCAAUACCGCGUGAGUGAAGAAGGUCUUCGGAUUGUAAAGCUCUUUGAUCAGGGACGAACAGAUGACGGUGCCUGAAGAACAAGCCCCGGCUAACUACGUGCCAACAGCCGCGGUAAAACGUAGGGGGCGAGCGUUGUCCUGGAUGACUGGGCGUAAAGGGUGUGUAGGCGCCAUAAUAAGUUAGAAGUGAAAUAGCCAGGGCUUAACACGGGUGCUGCUUCUGAGACUGUUGAGCUAGAGUGAGAGAGAGGUAAGUGGAAUUCCAAGUGAAGCGGUGGAAUGCGUAGAUAUAUGGAGGAACACCAGAGGCGAAGGCGAUUAACUGGACCGUAACUGACGCUGAGGCACGAAAGUGUGGGUAGCAAACAGGAUUAGAUACCCGAGUAGUC
RNAcentral lists this ribosomal RNA (443 nucleotides) under uncultured bacterium. Its description in RNAcentral is "partial 16S ribosomal RNA". It matches the Rfam family "Bacterial small subunit ribosomal RNA", at positions 338 to 795 of the family's 1533-position model. The record is from RNAcentral.